AGCGAACACUGGCGGCAGGCUUAACACAUGCAAGUCGAACGGGCGUAGCAAUACGUCAGUGGCAGACGGGUGAGUAACACGUGGGAACGUACCCUUUGGUUCGGAACAACACAGGGAAACUUGUGCUAAUACCGGAUAAGCCCUUACGGGGAAAGAUUUAUCGCCGAAGGAUCGGCCCGCGUCUGAUUAGCUUGUUGGUGAGGUAAUGGCUCACCAAGGCGACGAUCAGUAGCUGGUCUGAGAGGAUGAUCAGCCACACUGGGACUGAGACACGGCCCAGACUCCUACGGGAGGCAGCAGUGGGGAAUAUUGGACAAU
This 318-nucleotide ribosomal RNA is filed under the name uncultured bacterium. RNAcentral's name for it is "bacterial SSU rRNA". It matches the Rfam family "Bacterial small subunit ribosomal RNA", at positions 29 to 372 of the family's 1533-position model. The record is from RNAcentral.